This is a long non-coding RNA of Phyllostomus hastatus (greater spear-nosed bat), 312 nucleotides long. RefSeq lists it as uncharacterized. The transcript is spliced from 3 exons. NCBI's taxonomy places the organism in Eukaryota, Metazoa, Chordata, Mammalia, Chiroptera, Phyllostomidae. The record is from RefSeq and is a predicted model, not a curated record.
GACAGGGAGGCGAAACACUGAAGUAGACAUGGAUGCUGGCUAACCAGCCUUCUGCAGAGGGAGGCACCCCCCGGCCCAUGGGAUCUCAGCAUUCAAAGCAACAGAGGACACUGGGGCCCCUGAAACGGGGCCAUCGAAGAGAUCGCUCUGGUCAUGACCUCACUCAUUCUGGGCUGCCUGCCUGCUGUCCUGGGCCCCACAGAGUGAGCACCCGACGGAACACCCUCCACCCUGAUCCCACUUAACUCCCACCUGAAGCGGCUGAGACCGAGGCCCUGAAGGAGGCCUUGAAUGACCACGGUCUGGCCAGGC